This 521-nucleotide ribosomal RNA is filed under the name uncultured bacterium. Its description in RNAcentral is "bacterial SSU rRNA". It matches the Rfam family "Bacterial small subunit ribosomal RNA", at positions 331 to 843 of the family's 1533-position model. The record is from RNAcentral.
CCAGACUCCUACGGGAGGCAGCAGUAGGGAAUCUUCGGCAAUGGACGGAAGUCUGACCGAGCAACGCCGCGUGAGUGAAGAAGGUUUUCGGAUCGUAAAGCUCUGUUGUAAGAGAAGAACGAGUGUGAGAGUGGAAAGUUCACACUGUGACGGUAUCUUACCAGAAAGGGACGGCUAACUACGUGCCAGCAGCCGCGGUAAUACGUAGGUCCCGAGCGUUGUCCGGAUUUAUUGGGCGUAAAGCGAGCGCAGGCGGUUAGAUAAGUUUGAAGUUAAAGGCUGUGGCUUAACCAUAGUACGCUUUGGAAACUGUUUAACUUGAGUGCAAGAGGGGAGAGUGGAAUUCCAUGUGUAGCGGUGAAAUGCGUAGAUAUAUGGAGGAACACCGGUGGCGAAAGCGGCUCUCUGGCUUGUAACUGACGCUGAGGCUCGAAAGCGUGGGGAGCAAACAGGAUUAGAUACCCUGGUAGUCCACGCCGUAAACGAUGAGUGCUAGGUGUUAGACCCUUUCCGGGGUUUAG